UCGUAGCGCGGUGGUCCCACCUGACCCCAUGCCGAACUCAGAAGUGAAACGACCGUAGCGCCGAUGGUAGUGUGGGGUCUCCCCAUGCGAGAGUAGGGAACUGCCAGGCA
Molecule: ribosomal RNA, 110 nt
Filed under: Shigella flexneri
Lineage: Bacteria; Pseudomonadati; Pseudomonadota; Gammaproteobacteria; Enterobacterales; Enterobacteriaceae
Source: RNAcentral